AACACCUAUUUGAAUUUUCAGGAAUUCAGAUUUUAAAUUCAUUCAAAGAAUUUAGGGUAAGAAAGAGAUUAACAUAUCAGAUAUUGGCUCUUUCAUAAUAUUGCUGUCAUGAAACUUUGCUUUUACUGUUUUAAAUAUAUUAACUUAUUUUGCAACACUUUUAUCAUAUCAUGAAUUUCAAUACACAAAUGUGUUAGGAAGUCAUAUGAAUUGUUAAAAAUUUGCCCAUAGCAUACAAGAAAAGAAUACUAAUCAUAAUACAAUAUUCUAUAUUAUAUGAUGCUAAUCACUGUCUAAAUGUCUAUGGGAAAAUAAAUAUAUUCCAUCUGUUGGGAACAUAUAUGUUUUCCAGUUAAUGGGUUUACCAAAGAUAGGAGAAAAUGAGAUGAAUAAUGAAUAAUUUUCUCUUCUGCCAAAUGAAAAUACAAGAACAUUUUCAAUUCAUCUUUUCACUUCAUCUGUCAUUUUCAUGCCUUAUUGCAUCAAAUGCUCCACUCCUUCUCAGUCAUAUUUUACUUACAAAAUAUUGUCUAUAUCUUUCUGUAUUAACCCCAAAGCCCUGGCAUAUGCCCUGCUUCAAUGCUUGGCUACUAGGAUAAAAAUUUCCAGUGAAUCUUGUCUGAAUCCCGUCCUUCUGCCUUCUAACUCAUGUGUGAUAUCCAUUUGUUACCCUUCUAGAUACUGUGGCCAAUUCCCUGCUGUAAGUACCCAAAAACCUUUCUACCUUGAGGUGAUGGUGCAAAGUUACCUAACACUUUAUAAUAUACCCUUGUUCUAUUUUGUCUCUCUCCUCCUUUAAGCAUUCUGCCAACAUCAAAGCACAAAUGAGAAACUGAAUUGUUAUUAAAAUCAAUAUUGUUUGUAACUCCAAUGCUAUUUUUUAAUCAUAUUGUUAAUGGACCACUUCUAAAUCCAAUGAACAAUCAUCACCAUUUGGACAGUAAUUUGUAUUCAUUGCAAAAACAAAACAAAACAGAAAGGCGAAAAGGAAAGAGGAUGAUUUUUUUUACACAUAAAGCAUUUUUUUUUUUUGCAGUCAACUGCGAUAACAUGCUCAUCCCAGUGGAUAAACCAUGAAAGCCACUUGUAUGUGUGGAUAAGUGAGGGAAAGGUAUAGACACUGAUGAGGAUUUUGAACCAUCUGUACAAAUACAUUGUCUCUGCCUUUUUUCUAGGGCUAAGGGCAGGAAAUACAUGAGCCAUUGAAUGUGUAAAUUUUCCUCUCUUCAAGCCUCUAUUGAUGAUCUAGCAACCAAUAGCAUUAUCAAUCCAAAUUGAGUUCAAAUGUAAUUUUCUAUAUGAAUCAGACCAUUUGAAGGUCAAUUUCCAAAUUUCAGUUCAAUAUAAAAGGAGGAUAGUAAUGAUAAUAAAAAUUACAAAUAAUGAUCCAACAAUUAUGCAGCAUUUUCCAUGAAUUAUAUUAUUGAUUCUUUUUAUCAUUUUUAUCCAAAAACUUAGGUUUAUAUAUAUUAGCUUAUUCACAAUUAUCUUCUACAAGUAGAAGUAUUUUCAUUGGCUGAGUUAAUGAGCUGUUGAACAGUACCACAAACAGAGAACAUUUGAUUAUUUUUUUUUUCAAAUCUAGGAAUAUGAAGUUUACCAAAUAUAGGUGUAACCUGUAAGUAGGGGUAUUAAGUGGAUCGUUUUCUACACAGGAUGAUUUGUAUCCAAGAAGUUAAAAAUAUCAUAUCAACUUUAACAACACAUAAAUAUAAAUCUUAAUAAUAUCUUAAAUUCUCUAUCUUAUCAGAGGGGUAAACCAGACUAUUUUUUCUGACUUGUUAAUUGUUAAAUAUCUCUAUAUUAUGCAAGAUUUUACUUGACCAGGCAUGGUACCAAGAUCUCAAGACUGCAAGAUGCCCAGGAUGACCUUAAGCUUCUGUUCUCUUUUAGGAAACUGCAAAGCAAACACAGGUAUGACUGCCAGACAGAGAGAUGAGGGCAUAAGAGAGGCUUGCCAUCGGGGCAGGGAGGGGGGUCCACAUGUGAUCAAACACUCAGAGAACCCUGCCUGAGGGUGACGACUACUACCUGAGGGACAGGUAGUAGUUAAAUGGUGGCAGUGUGUAUUCCAGGUAGAGAGAGGACCCACUGUAAAGACUUUGUGGGUAACCAAUUAUUUGGGAUGGUUAGGUCAGAUUUGCUGAGCCUAUAGGAAUCCCACAACCAAAGUGAUCAUAAUGGUGGCUUAAUGUCUGAACUUAAUGUCUUAUGUGUGAGGUCACUGAAUGGAUAAAGGAAAUGGCUUUGACAUUCUGGUGCCUAUUGAAGUUUGGAGAAGGGCGAAUGGCUUGUCCCUGGAGGGACAAGUAUAGGUAGACAGUUGGAGCUACCAUUGGGGCAGUUACUGAUUGUGAAGGUUAUUGAAAUUCAAACUCUAACCUAACAGUUCUUAGAAAGGAAUUGAAGAUGUCUAGCAGCAUAACUGGAUGUAUAUUGAAGAAGGAUGAAUCUCUCGUAGAUGAUAGAGUGGAGGGACUCAUUCCAUGAAAAGGGAAGCCAUUGAGGCUUCUGCUGUGGUAUUCCAGGUGAGAGGAAAUAAGGGCUGGAUGGAUGCAGAGAUGCGGGAAGAGGAGGAACGUGUAGAACAGAAAUAUCAGGACUGUCAGGUUGGGAACUGAUACAGGCAGGGAAGGGAGAAGGAAGAAUUGAGAAUGCCCAGACUGCUGCCUGGGCUGGGGGUAUAGAAAGAGGGGUUUCAGAAGGCUGGAGGGAAGUGGACCCAGCCUGCACAUGCUGUGGGGUGGGGUGAAGCUGACAGAGCAGUCUCUCAUUCAGUUCUCGACCUUGAGACACAAACUAGUGGGUACCUGGUCAACUGUGGACGGUGGGAAUAACUGACUGCUGAAGGAAGUGCACAGAGCAGGAAGACUGGCAUUCAGAGAGUGAAUGGAGAAAGAAGAAUCCAGCAGCACCAGGAAAGGAAGUGGCAGGGGGAGGGAGGAAGGUCCGACUGUCCCAGAUGCACCACGUGGUUCUGACGUGUGUCUCUGCUCUGCUGUGUGCUCCAUUUCCUUCUUUCCUUGAGUUGCUCCGAAAGAAUGGACACCCUUCCUUCCACUGUGCACUCCCCAAAUCCGGUUAACAUUCUUGGUAAGGGUGGACCCUGUCUCUGAACACCAUCCAUUACAGUGUCUUGUGGUUCCUUUCCCUGAAGAAAGUUUAUUUCUUCUUAGUCUUGGGAAAUUAUUAAAAUCACCAACCAAUACUUUUUAAAGAAUAGUUCAUAGUUUAGAGAAAAUUUGAACAAAUAAAAAUACUUGGGAAGAGUUAUAUAUUUACCUAUGUAGGUCAAACCUUUGUUGAUCAAUAGGAGGCUUGUUCUAUACAAGUUUAUGUAGUAUUAACUCACACAGAUGUGGUUUUAUUCUUCAGAAUUUUUUUAAAUCAAAUGGUCCCAAACCAGAUUUUCUGGGUGUUAUAUGCUCUUUUAAUUUUCUUUUUUGUUUAUUUUUGAUCAUAUCAGGGGAUCUUCAACUAUAUAAUAUUGUGACUUCCCUGGUAACGGGCACCCUUCUUUACUUCUGUGUGCUAACCUAAUCUUCUCUAGGGGAAGUGAUCAAUUAACCUAUAGUGUGUGAUAAACGAAUUGCUUUCAGCCAAAUCAUCAAUUGGCACUCCAAAGAUUCCCAUUCUUUUUUUCUUCUUGUUGUUUCAUAUUAAGACCAUGCAGAAAUAAAAUAACAAAAGCAUAUUCUAAGAUAUAUAAGUUUAUGUGGCUAUUCCAAGAGAAUCUUUAAAAAGGAAAUUACACAAAUUUUACUAAUUGCUAUAAAAUUUUAUCUCAUAUUGGAUAUAUUAAAAGACUGUACAAUCUUGACCGUAAACAUUGAAAUCCACUGUUUUUAUCAACAGAGGACUGAUUUGGGGGACUGUUUCAUUUUAAAGAUAGCUCCAUCAGUUUUAGAAAUUUCCUCUUUAAACAUAUUUAACUCAAAUUUGGUGGGUUAAAUAAAAUUUGAAAUAGAUAUAGGAACAUAAUUAGUACUAUGAUUCACUGUCCUUUAAUAUCCCUUAAGUAGCUCAUGAAGAUAAGCACACUUGAGAGUCAGAGGGACAGAGUCUGAAUGACGGUCCUCUGCUGCUGUGAAGAUCCCCACCGACCUACUGUCUUGUGCUGCAGGUCAGCAGGGCUGUGUUGCUGAGCAGGCCUUGGAGAGAACUUCUUCAUUCCCUUUCCUAGCUUCUGGUGAAGCUGGGUCCUUCAACAAGACUUAGGAAAGCCAACUUAAACUAAGAGGACCCAACAAAUCUCAUUAGCUCGUUGCCUGAAAAAACCUGAGUGAAUUCAUUGGGUCUGGGUGUGAGAUCCAAGGAGGAUAUCUGGAAUGAAUAAAUGGAGCAGGAAACCGGGAGAAUUGGAUGGAGUUCUUCACUCAGACUGAUGGGUGCCUUUCUCGCAGCUUCUCCUAGUUGUCUGAUGAACAACAGAGAGUAAAUGUGAUUUCCUCUGGCACCCACAGGGCAGCAGCAGCUGCUGGGGUUCCUGAUUGUGUAAUUUGGAGGCUGAAUUUUGGCACCUGUGCCUGGAAUAUUCCCUCCUGUCUGUUUCUGCAGCCCUCCCCACACUCCUGUGAUACCUCCUUUUCCUCCAUGAUCCACCAGAGUCGGCCAAUCACUUGAAAGACCCAUUGUUUUAGGGCUGUUAUUUGACUGAGUAGUAAAUAAUCAACAAAAGAGUGACCAAAAAAUAGGAUAUCACUUUAUCUAGUCAUGAAAGGCCAAAUUUAAAUAGCUGUUUCCGGUUAGACCAGAGUCUUCUCUUCCAUGCCAUCUCUGUAUGCCACAGACUGAUGCCAAAGACCAAAAGAAAAUGAAAACAUUAAUUAUUUUUAUGUCUUCCUAUUGUUGACUGUAAUGAUUUUUCCAUUUGAAGUAAAAUCUUCUUGUUAGUCUAGUGACUAUUACUGGAUGUUUUAAUAACCUGUGCCAACACCUUACAAAUCAUAUUUUGGAACAAGUUUCUAGGCUUCAUUUAUAUUUCCAGUGAUGGGAAUUUGUAAUCAAGGUAUAGGGUGUGUGAAGUUGACAAAUGGCACUCUCUCAGGCAAACAAAAUCUGUUUAAUUAAUUGUAUAUUUUUUCCAUUCUUUUACAUUCAUAAGCUGAACAUGUACUUCACAGGCUUAUAAUUUAUUCCUUUGAAAAAUGAGCACAUCUAGCAUAGUACAGAAACCAGGGCUGUUUUUAUGAAUAAAUGUGCAUUUUCUUGAA
Ictidomys tridecemlineatus (thirteen-lined ground squirrel) is the source of this 5213-nucleotide non-coding RNA. The record is from RefSeq and is a predicted model, not a curated record. Lineage: Eukaryota; Metazoa; Chordata; Mammalia; Rodentia; Sciuridae.